This 30-nucleotide non-coding RNA is filed under the name Rattus norvegicus (Norway rat). Lineage: Eukaryota; Metazoa; Chordata; Mammalia; Rodentia; Muridae. The record is from RNAcentral.
UGACUUUUAAAGGUCAGCCAUAUGACUAUC